GAUGAACGCUGGCGGCGUGCCUAAUACAUGCAAGUCGAGCGAACAGACGAGGAGCUUGCUCCUCUGACGUUAGCGGCGGACGGGUGAGUAACACGUGGAUAACCUACCUAUAAGACUGGGAUAACUUCGGGAAACCGGAGCUAAUACCGGAUAAUAUAUUGAACCGCAUGGUUCAAUAGUGAAAGACGGUUUUGCUGUCACUUAUAGAUGGAUCCGCGCUGCAUUAGCUAGUUGGUAAGGUAACGGCUUACCAAGGCAACGAUGCGUAGCCGACCUGAGAGGGUGAUCGGCCACACUGGAACUGAGACACGGUCCAGACUCCUACGGGAGGCAGCAGUAGGGAAUCUUCCGCAAUGGGCGAAAGCCUGACGGAGCAACGCCGCGUGAGUGAUGAAGGUCUUCGGAUCGUAAAACUCUGUUAUUAGGGAAGAACAAAUGUGUAAGUAACUGUGCACGUCUUGACGGUACCUAAUCAGAAAGCCACGGCUAACUAUGUG
This 497-nucleotide ribosomal RNA is filed under the name uncultured bacterium. RNAcentral describes it as "partial 16S ribosomal RNA". It matches the Rfam family "Bacterial small subunit ribosomal RNA", at positions 28 to 507 of the family's 1533-position model. The record is from RNAcentral.